RNAcentral lists this ribosomal RNA (1361 nucleotides) under uncultured bacterium. RNAcentral's name for it is "bacterial SSU rRNA". It matches the Rfam family "Bacterial small subunit ribosomal RNA", at positions 28 to 1381 of the family's 1533-position model. The record is from RNAcentral.
AUUGAACGCUGGCGGCAGGCCUAACACAUGCAAGUCGAACGGUAGCACAGAGAGCUUGCUCUCGGGUGACGAGUGGCGGACGGGUGAGUAAUGUCUGGGAAACUGCCCGAUGGAGGGGGAUAACUACUGGAAACGGUAGCUAAUACCGCAUAAUGUCGCAAGACCAAAGAGGGGGACCUUCGGGCCUCUUGCCAUCGGAUGUGCCCAGAUGGGAUUAGCUUGUAGGUGAGGUAACGGCUCACCUAGGCGACGAUCCCUAGCUGGUCUGAGAGGAUGACCAGCCACACUGGAACUGAGACACGGUCCAGACUCCUACGGGAGGCAGCAGUGGGGAAUAUUGCACAAUGGGCGCAAGCCUGAUGCAGCCAUGCCGCGUGUAUGAAGAAGGCCUUCGGGUUGUAAAGUACUUUCAGCGGGGAGGAAGGGAGUGAGGUUAAUAACCUUAUUCAUUGACGUUACCCGCAGAAGAAGCACCGGCUAACUCCGUGCCAGCAGCCGCGGUAAUACGGAGGGUGCAAGCGUUAAUCGGAAUUACUGGGCGUAAAGCGCACGCAGGCGGUCUGUCAAGUCGGAUGUGAAAUCCCCGGGCUCAACCUGGGAACUGCAUUCGAAACUGGCAGGCUGGAGUCUUGUAGAGGGGGGUAGAAUUCCAGGUGUAGCGGUGAAAUGCGUAGAGAUCUGGAGGAAUACCGGUGGCGAAGGCGGCCCCCUGGACAAAGACUGACGCUCAGGUGCGAAAGCGUGGGGAGCAAACAGGAUUAGAUACCCUGGUAGUCCACGCUGUAAACGAUGUCGACUUGGAGGUUGUUCCCUUGAGGAGUGGCUUCCGGAGCUAACGCGUUAAGUCGACCGCCUGGGGAGUACGGCCGCAAGGUUAAAACUCAAAUGAAUUGACGGGGGCCCGCACAAGCGGUGGAGCAUGUGGUUUAAUUCGAUGCAACGCGAAGAACCUUACCUACUCUUGACAUCCACGGAAUUUGGCAGAGAUGCCUUAGUGCCUUCGGGAACCGUGAGACAGGUGCUGCAUGGCUGUCGUCAGCUCGUGUUGUGAAAUGUUGGGUUAAGUCCCGCAACGAGCGCAACCCUUAUCCUUUGUUGCCAGCGAUUCGGUCGGGAACUCAAAGGAGACUGCCAGUGAUAAACUGGAGGAAGGUGGGGAUGACGUCAAGUCGUCAUGGCCCUUACGAGUAGGGCUACACACGUGCUACAAUGGCAUAUACAAAGAGAAGCGACCUCGCGAGAGCAAGCGGACCUCAUAAAGUAUGUCGUAGUCCGGAUUGGAGUCUGCAACUCGACUCCAUGAAGUCGGAAUCGCUAGUAAUCGUGGAUCAGAAUGCCACGGUGAAUACGUUCCCGGGCCU